AUGCCCCUUAUGACCUGGGCUACACACGUGCUACAAUGGACGGUACAAAGAGCUGCAAGACCGCGAGGUGGAGCUAAUCUCAUAAAACCGUUCUCAGUUCGGAUUGUAGGCUGCAACUCGCCUACAUGAAGCUGGAAUCGCUAGUAAUCGCGGAUCAGCAUGCCGCGGUGAAUACGUUCCCGGGCCUUGUACACACCGCCCGUCACACCACGAGAGUUUGUAACACCCGAAGUCGGUGGGGUAACCUUUUUGGAGCCAGCCGCCUAAGGUGGGACAGAUGAUUGGGGUGAAGUCGUAACAAGGUAGCCGUAUCGGAAGGUGCGGCUGGAUCACCUCCUUUCUAUGGAGA
This 349-nucleotide ribosomal RNA is filed under the name Bacillus anthracis (anthrax bacterium). RNAcentral describes it as "bacterial SSU rRNA". It matches the Rfam family "Bacterial small subunit ribosomal RNA", at positions 1195 to 1533 of the family's 1533-position model. The record is from RNAcentral. Lineage: Bacteria; Bacillati; Bacillota; Bacilli; Caryophanales; Bacillaceae.